UUGGUGUUUGUGAACCUUUGA
RNAcentral lists this microRNA (21 nucleotides) under Eptesicus fuscus (big brown bat). RNAcentral describes it as "efu-miR-9257". Lineage: Eukaryota; Metazoa; Chordata; Mammalia; Chiroptera; Vespertilionidae. The record is from miRBase by way of RNAcentral.